GACGAACGCUGGCGGCGUGCCUAACACAUGCAAGUCGAACGGAAAGGCCCUGCUUUUGUGGGGUGCUCGAGUGGCGAACGGGUGAGUAACACGUGAGUAACCUGCCCUUGACUUUGGGAUAACUUCAGGAAACUGGGGCUAAUACCGGAUAGGAGCUCCUGCUGCAUGGUGGGUGUUGGAAAGUUUCGGCGGUUGGGGAUGGACUCGCGGCUUAUCAGCUUGUUGGUGGGGUAGUGGCUUACCAAGGCUUUGACGGGUAGCCGGCCUGAGAGGGUGACCGGCCACAUUGGGACUGAGAUACGGCCCAGACUCCUACGGGAGGCAGCAGUGGGGAAUAUUGCACAAUGGGCGGAAGCCUGAUGCAGCAACGCCGCGUGCGGGAUGACGGCCUUCGGGUUGUAAACCGCUUUCGCCUGUGACGAAGCGUGAGUGACGGUAAUGGGUAAAGAAGCACCGGCUAACUACGUG
Molecule: ribosomal RNA, 468 nt
Filed under: uncultured bacterium
Lineage: Bacteria
Description: partial 16S ribosomal RNA
Rfam family: Bacterial small subunit ribosomal RNA
Source: RNAcentral